UACGUAGGGUCCGAGCGUUGUCCGGAAUUAUUGGGCGUAAAGGGCUCGUAGGCGGUCUGUCGCGUCGGGAGUGAAAACUCAGGGCUUAACCCUGAGCCUGCUUCCGAUACGGGCAGACUAGAGGUAUGCAGGGGAGAACGGAAUUCCUGGUGUAGCGGUGAAAUGCGCAGAUAUCAGGAGGAACACCGGUGGCGAAGGCGGUUUUCUGGGCAUUACCUGACGCUGAGGAGCGAAAGUGUGGGGAGCGAACAGG
Molecule: ribosomal RNA, 253 nt
Filed under: uncultured bacterium
Lineage: Bacteria
Description: partial 16S ribosomal RNA
Rfam family: Bacterial small subunit ribosomal RNA
Source: RNAcentral